GUUAAAAUUUCUAUAAUGAAAAAUACAUAUAGUCGAAUAGAGAACCUUUCCCUUUUUUUGGAAGUCGGUUAAAAGUAAAUAG
Molecule: long non-coding RNA, 82 nt
Organism: Maniola jurtina (meadow brown)
Lineage: Eukaryota; Metazoa; Arthropoda; Insecta; Lepidoptera; Nymphalidae
Exons: 3
Source: RefSeq, a predicted model, not a curated record